ACAGAUUUGAAUCCGUACAUUUCUCAUCAGUCGUAAAGAGCUUGUAAUACUAGGGACAUGUGACUAUGUGGCUCGAAGCAACACGGGCUCUCGCAAACAUUGACGUCCGACACAUAUGAGAAUCCUAAGGUUGUAAUUGCUUCUAGGGCAGUCCCGGUACUUGUGAAGCCACUGGCCUCACCAAGUGAUGAUGUUCAAAGAGCAGGCUACGUGGGCAUUGAGAAAUAUUGCUGGUGAUUCGCCUAAGUACCAUGAUCUAGUACUAGAUCACUGGGCCUUCAUUUUUUUGCUUGCCUAGUUGAAUAAGCAUGCGGUGCAUUCGAUGUUCAGGACACCCACAUGGACUCUCUCAAACUUCAAUAGAGGAAAGACACGGCCUCCAUUUGAACGGGUUGCUGUUAUGACAUUCUAUUUCAAGUGCGAGCAUCUUCCUCAUUAUAUUUUCUCUGCACUACUAAAUGCUAUUACUUAUGCGCCGAUGAGGCCGACACUCCCAGCGCACUGGAAGUCUUCUGCAUUCAAAUGAUGAGGAAGUAGCAACAGAUGCCUGUUUGGUGCUUUCAUAUCUUUCUGAUGGUGCAAAUGAUAACAUCCAAGCCGCUAUUGUUGAGGGUGUACCUCGAUACGUUUUGCUCCUUGCAUGCCCCGAUGCUAAAGAUCUGCAGAUUUCUGGCAUUUUAUCAUUCUCUCGUGCUAAUUUAUGUGUUUCUCAUCCAGCCAUCCUUUUUCUUCUGUUCUCAUUCCUGCGCUUCACAGGGUAGUAAAUAUUGUUACUGGAGAAAGGAGAUGAUGUCCAGACCCAGGUGUAAUCAAUAAUGGUGCAUCGACAAGCCUGUUGACGCAUAUGAUGAGGAGAUCAUCAAGAUAGAAGCAUGUUGGACCAUCUCAAAUAUCACUGCUUGGAAAUAGGGACCAGAUACAGGCUGUGAUAGAAGCCGGUCUGAUUGGACCUCUUGUUAAUCUACUCCAAAAUGCGGAGAUAGAUAUCAAGAAGAAGGAUGCAUAUGGGCAAUACUGAAUGCUACCCGUGGAGGCAGUCACGAUCAAAUAAAGUUUCUGGUGAGGUGAGGAUGUAAAACCGCUCUGCGACCUCCUCAUAUGCCCUGAUCGGAGGAUUGUGACCGUCUGCAUAGAGGGUCUGGAAAACAUCAUAAAUAGUGGGGAGGCAGAGAAGGCCAUGGGAAGUACCGGAGAUGUCAAUAUUUAUGCCCAGAUGAUUGAUGACGCAGGGGGCCUAGAGAAGAUCGAGAAUCUGCAGAGUCAUGACAGCAACGAGAUCUAUGAAAAGGCGGUGAAGAUUCUCUUAGACUUAUUGUGGUUGGAGAAAGAGGAUGAGACUUUGCGUAUCCUCUUCAAAGGACAUCGAUACCGUUGAACCAGCUGGUCCAAUGUACUUCUAGUGAGAUACCUUAAGACAGAUCUAGAGUUCAGCAUUGGCUUCAAACUAAAGAAUUAGGAAAGGCAAUGGUUCCCUUCAACAAGCAAUGACUGAUAAGGUUGCUGCAUAUGAAACUGCAGGAUUACGAGUAACUGCUGGGGUAAACUCUCGCACUGUGGACAUUGGGAUUGUUUAGGGGAGGGUCAAAGUCAGGUCUGGGUCAUGGUCAGGUCCUGCACGUCCUUCUGUUAUUGCUUUGGUCCUGCCAUUGCUGUAGUUGCUGCUGAUUAUUCUUUAGCCUCGGUUUUCCAGGGGCAAAGACCAUAUUUAUCAGCAUUCUAGAGCGGCUUUAUCUUUCUGAUAUUUUUCCAAUUGGAAGUUGUUACAUUUCUAUUCAGUUCUUUCCUUUUCCAAGGGCGUGAAAUGCUCGAACAGCCUUAGAAUGAAUGCAAAAAUGAAUUCACAGAGAUUUUUGUUAA
Non-coding RNA from Punica granatum (pomegranate), 1857 nucleotides. The record is from RefSeq and is a predicted model, not a curated record. Lineage: Eukaryota; Viridiplantae; Streptophyta; Magnoliopsida; Myrtales; Lythraceae.